CUACUAUGUUGAUGUUAAUUUAAAAAAAAAAAACUACUCAAUAGGUGUACGAUAGUACAAUACUCCCGCAGAGCUGCUGAACGACUCCAGCUCCACCGCUCCGCCGCUCCACUUAUCAACCUCCAUCUGCCCUCGGCCAUAUUGACUUAACCGUCCCACCACAUUCAACAGUUUCCCCCCCCAAAAGGGAACAGAGAGCGUUCACCCACAGCGGAUAUAAAUCACAACAGGAGACGUCAAGCUAGUUUAAAAUACUAUUAUUAUUAUUUAUGGUACUUUUUUCCUUACGUGAGUGUUUUUGCAGUUACACAAUUUGUAAUGCAUUUUGCAAAAAGAAGUUCUGUAAUAAAUCAAAAUUACAUAAGAAAA
Sebastes umbrosus (honeycomb rockfish) is the source of this 369-nucleotide long non-coding RNA. RefSeq lists it as uncharacterized. The transcript is spliced from 2 exons. Lineage: Eukaryota; Metazoa; Chordata; Actinopteri; Perciformes; Sebastidae. The record is from RefSeq and is a predicted model, not a curated record.